CUGCUUCCAUGUCCUUAAGGUGACAAAGCAUAUGAGGACUUUGCAAGUACUUGGAGUAAAGGAAGAGAAGAGAAUUCACAGAGUGAAAAGAGGAGAAAGAGUGCUCUAAAAUAUCACCAAUGGACUGCAACAUGGAAGUUAGAGACAAGGUCAUCAGCCAAGACUGGGGAGAAAGGGAGAUGAAAAAGCCUGGAGAAAGUUUAACUCAUCUAAGAGGCUGUUAAGUGAAUCAACAAAAGAUGCCAUUUUCUAUUAAGUCAUCUAUUUUAUUAAAGAGUUAAAUGCAACUGUUGCUGUAUAUCAUGAAUUUAUGAAAGAUUUAGGAGUGGGAGUUCUUUUUUUCUCAAAAAAAAUG
This 355-nucleotide long non-coding RNA is filed under the name Homo sapiens (human). RNAcentral describes it as "HSALNT0209712". Lineage: Eukaryota; Metazoa; Chordata; Mammalia; Primates; Hominidae. The record is from RNAcentral.